UACGGAGGGGGCUAGCGUUGUUCGGAAUUACUGGGCGUAAAGGGUGCGUAGGCGGGUCUUUAAGUCAGGGGUGAAAUCCUGGAGCUCAACUCCGGAAUUGCCUUUAAGACUGCAUCGCUAGAAUUGUGGAGAGGUAAGUGGAAUUCCGAGUGUAGAGGUGAAAUUCGUAGAUAUUCGGAAGAACACCAGUGGCGAAGGCGACUUACUGGACACAUAUUGACGCUGAGGUGCGAAAGCGUGGGGAGCAAACAGG
This 253-nucleotide ribosomal RNA is filed under the name uncultured bacterium. RNAcentral describes it as "partial 16S ribosomal RNA". It matches the Rfam family "Bacterial small subunit ribosomal RNA", at positions 524 to 776 of the family's 1533-position model. The record is from RNAcentral.